This 76-nucleotide transfer RNA is filed under the name Deltaproteobacteria bacterium. RNAcentral describes it as "tRNA-Thr". It matches the Rfam family "tRNA". From Rfam's summary of the family: Transfer RNA (tRNA) molecules are approximately 80 nucleotides in length. Their secondary structure includes four short double-helical elements and three loops (D, anti-codon, and T loops). RNAcentral also lists the same sequence under 1 other name. The record is from RNAcentral. Lineage: Bacteria; Pseudomonadati; Myxococcota; Myxococcia.
GCCAACUUAGCUCAGCUGGUAGAGCAGCUGAUUCGUAAUCAGCAGGUCGUCAGUUCAAAUCUGACAGUUGGCUCCA